UGGGGAAUCUUAGACAAUGGGCGCAAGCCUGAUCUAGCCAUGCCGCGUGAGCGAUGAAGGCCUUAGGGUUGUAAAGCUCUUUCAUAUGGGAAGAUAAUGACUGUACCAUCAGAAGAAGCCCCGGCUAACUCCGUGCCAGCAGCCGCGGUCAUACGGAGGGGGCUAGCGUUGUUCGGAAUUACUGGGCGUAAAGCGCACGUAGGCGGACUGGAAAGUCAGAGGUGAAAUCCCAGGUCUCAACCUUGGAACUGCCUUUGAAACUCGCAGUCUUGAGGUCGAGGGAGGUGAGUGGAAUUCGGAGUGUAGAGGUGAAAUGCGUAGAUAUUCGGAGGAACACCGGUGGCGAAGGCGGCUCACUGGAGCGAUACUGACGCUGAGGUGCGAAAGCGUGGGGAGCAAACA
RNAcentral lists this ribosomal RNA (402 nucleotides) under uncultured bacterium. RNAcentral's name for it is "bacterial SSU rRNA". It matches the Rfam family "Bacterial small subunit ribosomal RNA", at positions 355 to 774 of the family's 1533-position model. The record is from RNAcentral.